This is a non-coding RNA of Ciona savignyi (Pacific transparent sea squirt), 80 nucleotides long. Lineage: Eukaryota; Metazoa; Chordata; Ascidiacea; Phlebobranchia; Cionidae. The record is from Rfam.
GGGUUGGCCGAGUGGUUAAGGCGUUGGACUUAAGUUCCAAUGGACAAGUGUCCGCGUGGGUUCGUACCCCACCCAACCCU